RNAcentral lists this antisense RNA (874 nucleotides) under Pongo abelii (Sumatran orangutan). The stretch from base 436 to 513 matches the Rfam family "ZEB2 antisense RNA 1 conserved region 4". The record is from RNAcentral. Lineage: Eukaryota; Metazoa; Chordata; Mammalia; Primates; Hominidae.
CCGGGUCCUCAAUCCAGAUAGUCUCUUCUUAUAUAGAUAUCUCUAAUGACCAGAUUUGAGAUGCACAUCAAAUUGUGUAGCUAUCUCAGUACAGCUUCUGGAACAAAAUUCUCUGCCCUUUCUCUUAUUAUUAUUAUUUUCUUUUUAGGUACCAGAGCCAGAAAAAAAAAAAUGCUACAUGGGAGCUGCAUCUUAGGGCAUGUGUAUUAGGGUGUGUGCAUGAUGAAUUUCUGGACUGGAUCCCAAUAUUAAAAAGUAGUUUGGCAUUUUAAUAAAGGGUCUCUAAGUAAAUUAACAUAGAACACUCGGUUGGCCGAUCUCUGAAUCUCUCUACACCUCGGGGAGACCUCACUACAAAGUAAGGGAGAGUGUGUAGGGAGGCAGGAGGAGAAAAGAGAAAGGCCAUGGAGAAACUUAGCAGGGAAGGGAGAGCAUGAUAUUAAACGGCAUGGGGUCUAAGUUUUGAAGUAUAUUUUUUUUGAUAUUACAAUUAAAGUAAAAUUAAAAAGAAAAGACUCCACCUUUGCUCUGAAGGGAUUGGUUAUGCAAAUAUGGAAGGGAUUUCCUGGAGAAUACAGCUUUCUACUGUAUGGUUAAUUAAAUAAUCACUCAAAAGCUUCCAACGUGACGCUUCUGUCGUAAUCCAAUCAGGUUACAUAGGUCCUAAACAAGAAAGAUAUUUUCCACAUCUGGAAGUCAGCAAUUUAGCAAGUACUGCACAUUAUUAACCAAUUCAGAGCCCACUUCCCAGGGGAAUUUUUUUGAAGUUUAAGUGUUCUUAACCAAUGCUCUGCUGUUUUGUUAAUCAAAAAGCUGGUUUACACUGCACAUAAUUGGAACUAAUAUAGAAGUAAAUAAAGACAGCCAAAUUUGA